AUGAACGCUGGCGGCGUGCCUAAUACAUGCAAGUCGAGCGAACAGACGAGGAGCUUGCUCCUCUGACGUUAGCGGCGGACGGGUGAGUAACACGUGGAUAACCUACCUUUAAGUCUUGGUUAACUUCGGGAAACCGGAGCUAAUACCGGAUAAUAUAUUUAACCGCUUGUUUCAAUAGUGAAAGACGGUUUUGCUUUCACUUUUAUAUGGAUCCCCGCGGCAUUAGCUAGUUGGUAAGUUAACGGCUUACCAAGGCAACGAUGCGUAGCCGACCUGAGAGGGGGAUCGGACACACUGGAAAUGAGACACGGUCCAGAAUACUACGGGAGGCAGCAGUAGGGAAUCUUCCGCAAGGGGAGAAAGCCUGAAGGAGAAAAGCAGCGUGAGUGAUGAAGGGCUUAGGAUCGUAAAACUCUGUUAUUAGGGAAGAACAAAUGUGUAAGUAACUAUGCACGUAUUGACGGUAACUAAACAGAAAGCCACGGCUAACUACGUG
RNAcentral lists this ribosomal RNA (496 nucleotides) under uncultured bacterium. RNAcentral describes it as "partial 16S ribosomal RNA". It matches the Rfam family "Bacterial small subunit ribosomal RNA", at positions 29 to 507 of the family's 1533-position model. The record is from RNAcentral.